AAGCUUAUGGGCUUUUAUAAUAUAGGUUGGUUUUGUGCCUACCUUUUGCAUCAUGAUUCUUUGAUGGUUUGUGCAGAAGGCACUUUCUCGAAAGGGGGCGAUCUUGUGCGGGCUUGCUUAGUGCUUAGUCUCUAACAGGUAGUUUUGACUAAAGGCCGCGCAUGCUGUGAUAAAUUAAUCGGGCCUCCGGAUAGCUAGGUUGCAGACAAAAAUUUCAAGUUAUAUCUUCUGUUCUGAGAUGGGAGACGGCCCAGAAACAUAAUAGCUUUUUUCUUUUUUAGGUUAAGGGUCCCUGGUUUAAUGCCCGUGUUACUACGGAAAGUUUAUUGUGUUAUUGUUUUGGGAGGAGUCGUCUGAUUAUAAUUUUUAGUGUGAGUAUGAAGGAAUAAGUAAUGUUAAAUGCUCUCUUUUUUUCUCGAUCCCUUUCGGUCUGUUUAUUAAAAACAUUUCCAUUUGUUAAUUUAAAUGGUAGUGCCUGCCCAGUGUUCUUGGAUAAAUGGCCGCAGUAUCUUGACUGUGCGAAGGUAGCAUAAUUAAUUGCCUCAUAAUUGGAGGAUUGUUUGAAAGGUUUGACCAGACGGUGUAAAUUAGAUGGGGGGCGUAAUUGAAAUUAAUUCACAGGUGCAGAAUCCUGUGUUGCUUAAUUAGACGGAAAGACCCCGAGAGCUUUGUUAUUCUUUAUUUGGGGCAAAGGCAGAUAUUUCAUUUGUUUUUUGAUCCUUUUGGUGUAAAGGUUAAAGUUACCUCGGGGAUAACUAGGUAAGAGACAAAGAGAGACCUUAUUGAUUUGUCUGUUUGCCAUCUCGAUGUUGACUUGAGGCUAGUUUGCAGGUGUAGCCGUUUGCAAAGGAGGUCUGUUCGACCUGAGAGCCUUUCAUGAGUUGAGUUAAGACCGGUGUAAGCCAGGUCGGUUCUUAUCUGUUGGUGUUGGGGGUUAGUACGAAAGGAUUGCUCGCAAUUUUCUUGG
This 967-nucleotide ribosomal RNA is filed under the name Carassotrema koreanum. RNAcentral's name for it is "16S ribosomal RNA". The stretch from base 617 to 967 matches the Rfam family "Bacterial large subunit ribosomal RNA", at positions 2048 to 2715 of the family's 2925-position model. The record is from RNAcentral. Lineage: Eukaryota; Metazoa; Platyhelminthes; Trematoda; Plagiorchiida; Haploporidae.